Non-coding RNA from Oryctolagus cuniculus (rabbit), 4359 nucleotides. The record is from RefSeq and is a predicted model, not a curated record. Lineage: Eukaryota; Metazoa; Chordata; Mammalia; Lagomorpha; Leporidae.
CAGUCGGCAGCCGGCGGGCAGAAGUCAGAAACCCCGGGACCCAGUGAGAGGCAAGCUCGGAGGAGGAGGAAGGAGGCCUCGGGGGCGGGGCUCCAGGGGCGCGGAGGGGCGGCUCCCCAGGUGGGGUGAUCGGCUCUCCUGAGGAUGAGUCCGUGGCCUUCGUGGGAACCAGCCGGUCCCAGGGCCACGCUGCCACGUCUCCGCAGAACUUAGGAGACUGCUGGGAGUCCUCUCCAGCAAGGGCAGGUGGGGAACACGCAGCUGCCCCCAACCUGCCUUCCGGUUGUUCCUUACAGGUGUGGGGUGAUGGAGGACCAGAGAGCGCACCAAGCUCCGAGUGGCCUGCGCGCCCUGCUGCGCCCCCAGGGAGAGCGCUGAAUGCCGGAUCUGCUAGUCCACACACACACACACACACACACACACACACACGCAACCCCCUACGGCGAGAUGCGCAGGACAUCCCUCAUCAGCCCCUUUAAAGAAGCCGAGGCCCAGGUUAGGACUGGAGCGAUCCGGUUCCUGUUGGUGCGCUCUCUGCUGCUCGCAUCCGGCUGCCUCUCAGAGGGCAGCGCCAGCUCUUUUGUGACCCUGUGGUCCUGAGGCCGCGUCACAGACACAAGGCGGGAGACCACGCCCACUGCACUAACUUCGUGGCCUCCCAGGCCCCAGAAGCUGCUCCAGGCCCGAGUCUCUGCGUUUAUGCAUUCCUGCUGCAAACCGGCUCCCUCCGGCUGAGGACAACGCUGGGGGCUUGGGAUUAACAGCCUUUUCCUGCCUACUUCUCUCUGCUGAGCCAUGCCCCUCACAUGCAAGUUUAUCAUGAGAGAGUUCCAGGGCUCAGACCCCCCAGGAAGUGACAGCGCCACCCAGUGAACAGAAGAGGAAGGCCACGCUCAGGCUGAGCCACUGGCUCAGGUCCUGGAGCCUGGGAGGGGCAGAGUCAGGACUUCAAUUCUUGUCUGCUUGGCUCCAAAGGCUGCUCCUUUGCCGGUCCCUUUAAUCCAAGAGGCACGAAAGACCACUAGCUGUGUGGGAAGGUCUGCGAGGCAUCAUCAGUCACCCGAACCUGCGCCUGCCUUUCUAGAACCCACUCAUCCUCCAUGAGGUGGAAUAGCAGUAGAGGAGUCAUGCACAAGGUGCCACAUAGUGGGGCAGAGGGAAAGGAAAGGUGCACGUAUUGAGUGCUGACUGUAUACCAGGGCCUGUGCUCAGCAUUUUCACAUGAACCUUCUGUCCCUGCACCGUCAAGUGGGAAUGAAUUAGGAUUCAGUCCAGUUUAAAAUACAUUUCCUGGUACUAGCCGCACUUCAAGUGCUUGAAAGCCAUGGUGGCUACUGGCUACCACACCGGGCAGCAGAGGCGGGGCCACGGAAUGCUCUAACGGAUAGCACUGGUCCAGAGUGGAAACCCCAGGAGGGCAUGUGCUCGGCUUGCUUUCUGUACCUCCGGAUCACACGGCACAUUGCAGACCCCCAAGAGCUACACGAGUCAAAUGAAAACACGCAUGCACACACAUGUGCUUCCAAAAGUUCAUGGAAAAUGACGUAAAAAUCUAACUUUGGUUUGUUGGAAAAAAAUUCAAAAUGCAUGUGGUUUUUCAUAGUACCCAUUUUCCAUGAACCUGUAAAAGACUUCCUGUAUGCAGGAUUUCAACAUUUUUUGCAUCAAAAUAAAUUUACUUUGUAAUUUUAUUUUUCCACAACCUUUUCAAAGUACUCUCAUACAGAAGUAUUAAAAAAAAUGUCCUUGGCCAGCACCGUGGCUCACUAGGCUAAUCCUCCACCUGCAGCACCGGUACCCCGGGUUCUAGUCCUGGUUGGGGCACAGGUUCUGUCCCGGUUGCUCCUCUUCCAGUCCAGCUCUCUGCUGUGGCCCGGGAGGGCAGUGGAGGAUGGCCCAGGUCCUUGGGCCCUGCACCCGCAUGGGAGACCAGGAGGAAGCACCUGGUUCCUGGCUUCACAUCAGCACAGCGCCAGCCAUAGUGGCCACUUGGGGGGUGAACCAACAGAAAAGGAAGACCUCUCUCUCUCUCUCACUAUCUAACUUCUUGAAAAAAAAAAAAAAAAAAAAAGCAAUGUCCACUACUCACCCUGUAUAUGUAGUGAUAACUUUCCAUAAAAAUACAAAGGAAAAGGAAAAGAGGCAGUGGGGUGUGCCUGGACUCCCCUGCAGGCAGCACAUUUUGGGAGCAGGCUGCAUUGGUGGGAGGGAAGGUCAUUAUAACAGCCACCAUUCACUGUCACUCCAGCUCAACAUAUUAGGGGACCUCAAAGAGUUCACGAAACAAUGGAAUGGAGACACCUUUAUUUUGGUGUCAAAAAUUUCACCACUCACGCAGAUAAGGGGUCUUCAAAAAGUCCACCGGAAAUGCAUAUUAUGAAAAAACCAUGAUGGAUUUCAAAACGUUUUUGCCCCCAAAGAAGCUUAUCUUUUCCUUCUGGUUCCCCGUGUGUGUUUGAAGUGCACUCAGAUUUAUAAUACUUUUGUAAUUUAAUGGCUCCCGACAACAGCUCUGUAAGAUGAGGCUCUUAUCCCCAUUUUAUAGACGAGGAGACUGAGGCUCAGAAAGGCUGCAUAGCCUACUUAGUCUCACACAGCAGGUGAACUCAGGAGGGCUCAGAGCCCACACUGUCACCCACCACAGAGCUUGCAUUCCAUUUCCUCCCUGUACAGGGAGUCUGCCUCGCUCCAGGCAGUUUUCAAAUUUGGGGUGAAUUGACCCCCUCCCCCAGGCAGGCAGAUCUUCAGUUCCGGUUUGAUACCCCAAGUCCAGCAGUCUUUGUCACCCAUCCGCCACACCUGGCCUGGAGGUGAGCCGCAGGCCAGGUCCGCCUCUCCACGCGGAGGAAAAUGACUCUUCCCCGCCCCCUUGUGGCCAGGUGUGGCAUGAGCUCAGAGAAACAGGGCAGCCCCUUACAGCAAUCAAGGGUGGUCCUGGAAAAGCAGACCCAGCAGGAAGCUCUGCAGUCCUAGGGUGUGGGCUUCAGGUGGCGAUGACUUGUCCAGGUGGCCCUGGUUGCAGGGACACCAUGACUCGGUACUUUUCGCCUGGAGAAAAAAGCAACUUGCCUCUCCUUCAAGAACUCCCGCCUGGAAGUUCCCAGGCUGUUUCUUUUCCUAAUGGCCCUUUUCUCGCUUAUUUAUUUAUUGUCUAUAUUUGAUUAAAAAGAAUUCUAUUCUCAGGAGUCCCCCUCCUCCCACAGGUCACUUUCCACAGGCUCGAUUUAAUUAACGAGAGCUGACUUGAAGAUGAAAGGUAAGAAACAAAAGGUCUUCCUUAUCCAAUCUGAGCCCAAAUAAAAUCAUAUUAACAUUUCACCUUUUGUUCCUGUGCGAGAGGAGCCGUUGGUGCAUUGUAUCAAAGUUAUUGAAAUCAUUAGGAAGGAAAGAAAAGAAGAGAGAUAGCUGUGGCCGUGCUUCUUGGAAAUCCCCACCCCCACCCUCGUCCUCAUAGGAGAGAAAAAGGAAGAGAAAGAGGAAAGGGGAGAGGAGAGAGAGAGAGAGAGGCGUGCAGUGACAAUGCUGCGUUGUAAGCCUCGCUUCAAAGUCAAGUUAGGAAAAGGAAAAAUCAUUUGGCAGAAAAGAAUACCCUAGCACUGCUGCUCCAGGCAGGUGACAUGCCUCCCGGUGAGCCCUGUGGGCGCACAGGCCUGCUGCUGCUUCCUCAGCCUCUCCCCAGCCCCUAGAAACCUGCCCGGCACGCGGCAACCACUCGCGACACACUUGCUGCGUACGGGAAUAAAAAUCCAGGCAAGCCGGCUCUCAAGGAGUCUGACCUGGGCUCCACGUGGGUGCAAGAGGCAAAGCCGUGGCUCCUCCCUGAGUCUGCAAACAGCAAACCGCUCUGCUCUGGGCAGCAGGGGAAGAGGCAGCUGGCUUCUGCACCUUGCCUGUCCCAAAUGCUUAUCACGCCACAGCACUCUGCACCUUCCUGCCGGAGCUUCUGAGGCCGUGAGGAAACAGUGUGCCCCCCACACCCCCAUCCCGGGGCCCCUGCACCAGAUAAAGGCACCAGGUGUGAGCAGCUGCAAUGGAGAAAUCAUCAAGGCCCUGGCAGAUCAGCCCUCUCACUGACUCAGGGCUUGUCCGCGCAGAGCGCCCGGCCCUGCGCCCUGGAGGCGGGAGUCCCUCAGCUCGCACAGGUGUCUGUGCUCCGGCAGCAUGGGCUAAUUAAGAGCUUGUCUUCCACCUGCAAGAGGAGAGCGAUGUGAGUUCCUAAGGUUGUGUGUGACGGUGUCUGCAGGGUGGGAAAAGCUGAUUCAUCCCAGUUAGGAAACAACAAGGAAAUCUCCACAAGCCUGGAGCCCAGAGAGGCGAGCCUGGAUGACUUCUGUGUGUAUGUAGGUGUAUUUCAUUCGA